This is a long non-coding RNA of Cucumis melo (muskmelon), 773 nucleotides long. RefSeq lists it as uncharacterized. The record is from RefSeq and is a predicted model, not a curated record. Lineage: Eukaryota; Viridiplantae; Streptophyta; Magnoliopsida; Cucurbitales; Cucurbitaceae. The transcript has 4 exons.
CCGCCAAGAUUUUGAAGACAUCCGAGUUCCAUUUUUUUUUUCUUUUUCCUUCUUCAAUUUGCAGAGAACUUCUAAGAGAGAGUUUGGAAGAAGAAGAGAAAUUUUACAAGAAUUUUUUAGGUUGAAGAAGAGGAGGAGAACUCAAGCAAAGUGUAUCAAUGGCUGAAUUUUAGUUCAUUCUGCACAUCACUGGUUUUUAAUUCGGUUUGAACUCUUCAAAAGGAAUUAAGAGGGCAGUUGGUUUUCACUCGAAAUCAAGAGGUCUCUUGUUUUUCUUGUAUUUCAGAGUGUAUCUGUAGAGUUAGAAUCUCUAUUUGGUAUGGUUGGAAAGCUUAUUCAAUUUACUACAACUUUCAUGAAGAAAUUGUAAACCAAAAACGACUAAAAAUCAGUUAAAUUGUAGGGACAAGUUAAAGAGGUCGUGUGCGCGCGAUUCUGGAAGUGGUUCUGUUUUGAGGGUUAUAUGUAUUUAUGCACGGGGCAUCAGAUUUAUAUGUCUUCAGGCCAAGAAGAAUUAAACCGAGCUUAUAGACCAAGGAUCUAGCCCAAAACUGUAGAGAUCGACUUCCCGGUGCCUGAUAGACUGCCUUAGUCUGCGGAAGCUUCAUUAUCGAUUGCCAGUUGAGUUGGGCAUAGAGUCUGUUGUGUUGUGGUGUAUAUACACCCUUGUAUGUUAUAGAUACUCCACAGUUUGUAUAAGCUUUAGGAGCUGUAGUUGUGUAAAUUUUGUUGGUUAUAUUUUGAUUAAGGUGUCUUUAGGUUUACUCGUGAAA